GACGAACCGUGCGAACGUUAUUCGGAAUCACUGGGCUUAAAGCGCGUGUAGGCGGGACGGCACGUCGGUCGCUGAAAUCCCCCGGCUCAACCGGGGAACGGGCGCCGAUACGACCGCCCUGGAGGGACGUAGGGGGACCUGGAACUUCCGGUGGAGCGGUGAAAUGCGUAGAUAUCGUUUGGAACGCCAAUGGUGAAAACAACUUGCUGGGGGUGUGCUGACGCUGAGACACGAAAGCCAGGGGAGCAAACGGG
This 254-nucleotide ribosomal RNA is filed under the name uncultured bacterium. RNAcentral describes it as "partial 16S ribosomal RNA". It matches the Rfam family "Bacterial small subunit ribosomal RNA", at positions 524 to 776 of the family's 1533-position model. The record is from RNAcentral.